GGUUAACCGUAUAGGGGAGCCGUAGGGAAACCGAGUCUUAACCGGGCGUUAAGUUGCAGGGUAUAGACCCGAAACCCGGUGAUCUAGCCAUGGGCAGGUUGAAGGUUGGGUAACACUAACUGGAGGACCGAACCGACUAAUGUUGAAAAAUUAGCGGAUGACCUGUGGCUGGGGGUGAAAGGCCAAUCAAACCGGGAGAUAGCUGGUUCUCCCCGAAAGCUAUUUAGGUAGCGCCUCGUGAAUUCAUCUCCGGGGGUAGAGCACUGUUUCGGCUAGGGGGCCAUCCCGGCUUACCAACCCGAUGCAAACUGCGAAUACCGGAGAAUGUUAUCACGGGAGACACACGGCGGGUGCUAACGUCCGUCGUGAAGAGGGAAACAACCCAGACCGCCAGCUAAGGUCCCAAAGUCAUGGUUAAGUGGGAAACGAUGUGGGAAGGCCCAGACAGCCAGGAUGUUGGCUUAGAAGCAGCCAUCAUUUAAAGAAAGCGUAAUAGCUCACUGGUCGAGUCGGCCUGCGCGGAAGAUGUAACGGGGCUAAACCAUGCACCGAAGCUGCGGCAGCGACACUGUGUGUUGUUGGGUAGGGGAGCGUUCUGUAAGCCUGUGAAGGUGGCCUGUGAGGGUUGCUGGAGGUAUCAGAAGUGCGAAUGCUGACAUAAGUAACGAUAAAGCGGGUGAAAAGCCCGCUCGCCGGAAGACCAAGGGUUCCUGUCCAACGUUAAUCGGGGCAGGGUGAGUCGACCCCUAAGGCGAGGCCGAAAGGCGUAGUCGAUGGGAAACGGGUUAAUAUUCCCGUACUUGGUGUUACUGCGAAGGGGGGACGGAGAAGGCUAUGUUGGCCGGGCGACGGUUGUCCCGGUUUAAGCGUGUAGGUGUGUGUUCCAGGUAAAUCCGGUUCACUUUAACACUGAGGCGUGACGACGAGGCACUACGGUGCUGAAGCAACAAAUGCCCUGCUUCCAGGAAAAGCCUCUAAGCAUCAGGUAACAUCAAAUCGUACCCCAAACCGACACAGGUGGUCAGGUAGAGAAUACCAAGGCGCUUGAGAGAACUCGGGUGAAGGAACUAGGCAAAAUGGUGCCGUAACUUCGGGAGAAGGCACGCUGACACGUAGGUGAAGUGAUUUACUCAUGGAGCUGAAGUCAGUCGAAGAUACCAGCUGGCUGCAACUGUUUAUUAAAAACACAGCACUGUGCAAACACGAAAGUGGACGUAUACGGUGUGACGCCUGCCCGGUGCCGGAAGGUUAAUUGAUGGGGUCAGCGCAAGCGAAGCUCCUGAUCGAAGCCCCGGUAAACGGCGGCCGUAACUAUAACGGUCCUAAGGUAGCGAAAUUCCUUGUCGGGUAAGUUCCGACCUGCACGAAUGGCGUAAUGAUGGCCAGGCUGUCUCCACCCGAGACUCAGUGAAAUUGAACUCGCUGUGAAGAUGCAGUGUACCCGCGGCAAGACGGAAAGACCCCGUGAACCUUUACUAUAGCUUGACACUGAACAUUGAGCCUUGAUGUGUAGGAUAGGUGGGAGGCUUUGAAGUGUGGAC
RNAcentral lists this ribosomal RNA (1541 nucleotides) under Salmonella enterica subsp. enterica serovar Mbandaka. RNAcentral describes it as "partial 23S ribosomal RNA". It matches the Rfam family "Bacterial large subunit ribosomal RNA", at positions 644 to 2169 of the family's 2925-position model. Lineage: Bacteria; Pseudomonadati; Pseudomonadota; Gammaproteobacteria; Enterobacterales; Enterobacteriaceae. The record is from RNAcentral.